GUAUGGUGCAAGCGUUAUCCGGAUUUACUGGGUGUAAAGGGAGCGUAGACGGCUGUGUAAGUCUGAAGUGAAAGCCCGGGGCUCAACCCCGGGACUGCUUUGGAAACUAUGCAGCUAGAGUGUCGGAGAGGUAAGUGGAAUUCCCAGUGUAGCGGUGAAAUGCGUAGAUAUUGGGAGGAACACCAGUGGCGAAGGCGGCUUACUGGACGAUGACUGACGUUGAGGCUCGAAAGCGUGGGGAGCAAACAGGAUUAGAUACCCUGGUAGUCCACGCCGUAAACGAUGACUACUAGGUGUCGGGGAGCAAAGCUCUUCGGUGCCGCAGCAAACGCAAUAAGUAGUCCACCUGGGGAGUACGUUCGCAAGAAUG
This 370-nucleotide ribosomal RNA is filed under the name uncultured bacterium. RNAcentral's name for it is "bacterial SSU rRNA". It matches the Rfam family "Bacterial small subunit ribosomal RNA", at positions 527 to 896 of the family's 1533-position model. The record is from RNAcentral.